RNAcentral lists this ribosomal RNA (1249 nucleotides) under Lactiplantibacillus plantarum. Its description in RNAcentral is "bacterial SSU rRNA". It matches the Rfam family "Bacterial small subunit ribosomal RNA", at positions 256 to 1497 of the family's 1533-position model. Lineage: Bacteria; Bacillati; Bacillota; Bacilli; Lactobacillales; Lactobacillaceae. The record is from RNAcentral.
GGUAACGGCUCACCAUGGCAAUGAUACGUAGCCGACCUGAGAGGGUAAUCGGCCACAUUGGGACUGAGACACGGCCCAAACUCCUACGGGAGGCAGCAGUAGGGAAUCUUCCACAAUGGACGAAAGUCUGAUGGAGCAACGCCGCGUGAGUGAAGAAGGGUUUCGGCUCGUAAAACUCUGUUGUUAAAGAAGAACAUAUCUGAGAGUAACUGUUCAGGUAUUGACGGUAUUUAACCAGAAAGCCACGGCUAACUACGUGCCAGCAGCCGCGGUAAUACGUAGGUGGCAAGCGUUGUCCGGAUUUAUUGGGCGUAAAGCGAGCGCAGGCGGUUUUUUAAGUCUGAUGUGAAAGCCUUCGGCUCAACCGAAGAAGUGCAUCGGAAACUGGGAAACUUGAGUGCAGAAGAGGACAGUGGAACUCCAUGUGUAGCGGUGAAAUGCGUAGAUAUAUGGAAGAACACCAGUGGCGAAGGCGGCUGUCUGGUCUGUAACUGACGCUGAGGCUCGAAAGUAUGGGUAGCAAACAGGAUUAGAUACCCUGGUAGUCCAUACCGUAAACGAUGAAUGCUAAGUGUUGGAGGGUUUCCGCCCUUCAGUGCUGCAGCUAACGCAUUAAGCAUUCCGCCUGGGGAGUACGGCCGCAAGGCUGAAACUCAAAGGAAUUGACGGGGGCCCGCACAAGCGGUGGAGCAUGUGGUUUAAUUCGAAGCUACGCGAAGAACCUUACCAGGUCUUGACAUACUAUGCAAAUCUAAGAGAUUAGACGUUCCCUUCGGGGACAUGGAUACAGGUGGUGCAUGGUUGUCGUCAGCUCGUGUCGUGAGAUGUUGGGUUAAGUCCCGCAACGAGCGCAACCCUUAUUAUCAGUUGCCAGCAUUAAGUUGGGCACUCUGGUGAGACUGCCGGUGACAAACCGGAGGAAGGUGGGGAUGACGUCAAAUCAUCAUGCCCCUUAUGACCUGGGCUACACACGUGCUACAAUGGAUGGUACAACGAGUUGCGAACUCGCGAGAGUAAGCUAAUCUCUUAAAGCCAUUCUCAGUUCGGAUUGUAGGCUGCAACUCGCCUACAUGAAGUCGGAAUCGCUAGUAAUCGCGGAUCAGCAUGCCGCGGUGAAUACGUUCCCGGGCCUUGUACACACCGCCCGUCACACCAUGAGAGUUUGUAACACCCAAAGUCGGUGGGGUAACCUUUUAGGAACCAGCCGCCUAAGGUGGGACAGAUGAUUAGGGUGAAGUCGUAACAAGGU